This 253-nucleotide ribosomal RNA is filed under the name uncultured Phenylobacterium sp. RNAcentral's name for it is "partial 16S ribosomal RNA". It matches the Rfam family "Bacterial small subunit ribosomal RNA", at positions 524 to 776 of the family's 1533-position model. The record is from RNAcentral. Lineage: Bacteria; Pseudomonadati; Pseudomonadota; Alphaproteobacteria; Caulobacterales; Caulobacteraceae.
GACGAAGGGGGCUAGCGUUGCUCGGAAUUACUGGGCGUAAAGGGCGCGUAGGCGGAUACUUAAGUCGGGGGUGAAAGCCCGGGGCUCAACCUCGGAAUUGCCUUCGAUACUGGGUAUCUUGAGUUCGGGAGAGGUGAGUGGAACUCCGAGUGUAGAGGUGAAAUUCGUAGAUAUUCGGAAGAACACCAGUGGCGAAGGCGACUCACUGGCCCGAUACUGACGCUGAUGCGCGAAAGCGUGGGGAGCAAACAGG